Small nucleolar RNA from Dioscorea cayenensis subsp. rotundata (Guinea yam), 107 nucleotides. Lineage: Eukaryota; Viridiplantae; Streptophyta; Magnoliopsida; Dioscoreales; Dioscoreaceae. The record is from RefSeq and is a predicted model, not a curated record.
AAUCCGUGUUGUGGGCACCUCGGCAAAAGAUCCUUGAAACGCUCCCAUGUCUCAAACAAUGUUUCCAAUUUCAUCUGCACAAACAAUGAUAUCUCAUUUCGAAGCUU